RNAcentral lists this ribosomal RNA (358 nucleotides) under Quercus ithaburensis subsp. macrolepis. Lineage: Eukaryota; Viridiplantae; Streptophyta; Magnoliopsida; Fagales; Fagaceae. The record is from RNAcentral.
CUCCUGGGAAGUCCUCGUGUUGCACCCCUCUCUUUUUCUUCGCGUUUUUUUCGUUGGGGUUGUCGUUUGCGGCGGUCCAGCACGCUCGCUCUGCAUGCACCCCUUUGAUCUUCGCUGGGCUUAUCGUGUACGUCGGUCCAGCACGCUCGCUUUGGAGGCUUAGCCCGCCCCAGGCCAAAAGCACGAGCCGCAGAUCUCGUUUUGGGUGCUAAAGCGUCGCGGGGACGUCGAAAUGCGCGGAAGCCCCUCGGGUUGCACCUCUCCGGCGUUAAGGUGCAUCGUUGCGUUCGGAUCCUUUUAUAAGAAUUAAACGCGCUUAUGCUGAUGGGUGCGAUCAUACCAACACUAAUGCACCGGA